This 111-nucleotide non-coding RNA is filed under the name Sphingomonas sp. Its description in RNAcentral is "TPP sequence". It matches the Rfam family "TPP riboswitch aptamer (THI element)". Rfam says of the family: Vitamin B(1) in its active form thiamin pyrophosphate (TPP) is an essential coenzyme that is synthesised by coupling of pyrimidine and thiazole moieties in bacteria. The previously detected thiamin-regulatory element, thi box was extended, resulting in a new, highly conserved RNA secondary structure, the THI element, which is widely distributed in eubacteria and also occurs in some archaea. Lineage: Bacteria; Pseudomonadati; Pseudomonadota; Alphaproteobacteria; Sphingomonadales; Sphingomonadaceae. The record is from RNAcentral.
GCGCCGUCCCCGGGGAGCCAGCAAGUGGCUGAGAGUUGUGGGUAUGCUCCACAAGACCCGUUGAACCUGAACCCGUUAGUACGGGCGGAGGAAGUGGAGCGUCGGGUUUGA